This 491-nucleotide ribosomal RNA is filed under the name uncultured bacterium. RNAcentral's name for it is "partial 16S ribosomal RNA". It matches the Rfam family "Bacterial small subunit ribosomal RNA", at positions 29 to 507 of the family's 1533-position model. The record is from RNAcentral.
AGUGAACGCUGGCGGUAGGCCUAACACAUGCAAGUCGAACGGCAGCACAGUAAGAGCUUGCUCUUACGGGUGGCGAGUGGCGGACGGGUGAGGAAUACAUCGGAAUCUACUUUUUCGUGGGGAUAACGUAGGGAAACUUACGCUAAUACCGCAUACGACCUACGGGUGAAAGCAGGGGAUCUUCGGACCUUGCGCGAUUGAAUGAGCCGAUGUCGGAUUAGCUAGUUGGCGGGGUAAAGGCCCACCAAGGCGACGAUCCGUAGCUGGUCUGAGAGGGUGAUCAGCCACACUGGAACUGGGACACGGUCCAGACUCCUACGGGAGGCAGCAGUGGGGAAUAUUGGACAAUGGGCGCAAGCCUGAUCCAGCCAUACCGCGUGGGUGAAGAAGGCCUUCGGGUUGUAAAGCCCUUUUGUUGGGAAAGAAAAGCAGCAGGUUAAUACCCCGCUGUUCUGACGGUACCCAAAGAAUAAGCACCGGCUAACUUCGUG